Molecule: ribosomal RNA, 253 nt
Filed under: uncultured bacterium
Lineage: Bacteria
Description: partial 16S ribosomal RNA
Rfam family: Bacterial small subunit ribosomal RNA
Source: RNAcentral
UACGGAGGGUCCAAGCGUUGUCCGGAUUUAUUGGGUUUAAAGGGUACGUAGGCGGGAAUUUAAGUCAGUGGUGAAAGCCUCCAGCUCAACUGGAGAAUUGCCAUUGAAACUGAAUUUCUUGAGUAUGGUUGAGGUGGUUGGAAUAUAACGUGUAGCGGUGAAAUGCUUAGAUAUGUUAUAGAACACCAAUUGCGAAGGCAGAUCACUAAGCCAUUACUGACGCUGAGGUACGAAAGCGUGGGGAGCGAACAGG